Molecule: ribosomal RNA, 485 nt
Filed under: uncultured bacterium
Lineage: Bacteria
Description: partial 16S ribosomal RNA
Rfam family: Bacterial small subunit ribosomal RNA
Source: RNAcentral
UGGGGAAUAUUGGACAAUGGGCGCAAGCCUGAUCCAGCAAUGCCGCGUGAGUGAUGAAGGCCUUCGGGUUGUAAAGCACUUUUGUCCGGAAAGAAAUGGCUCUGGUUAAUACCUGGGGUCGAUGACGGUACCGGAAGAAUAAGGACCGGCUAACUACGUGCCAGCAGCCGCGGUAAUACGUAGGGUCCAAGCGUUAAUCGGAAUUACUGGGCGUAAAGCGUGCGCAGGCGGUUGUGCAAGACCGAUGUGAAAUCCCCGAGCUUAACUUGGGAAUUGCAUUGGUGACUGCACGGCUAGAGUGUGUCAGAGGGGGGUAGAAUUCCACGUGUAGCAGUGAAAUGCGUAGAGAUGUGGAGGAAUACCGAUGGCGAAGGCAGCCCCCGUGGGAUAACACUGACGCUCAUGCACGAAAGCGUGGGGAGCAAACAGGAUUAGAUACCCUGGUAGUCCACGCCCUAAACGAUGUCAACUAGUUGUUGGGGAUU